UUCGGAAUCUUGAGAGCGGCGCACGGGUGCGGAACACGUGUGCAACCUGCCUUUAUCUGGGGGAUAGCCUUUCGAAAGGAAGAUUAAUACCCCAUAAUAUAUUGAGUGGCAUCACUUGAUAUUGAAAACUCCGGUGGAUAGAGAUGGGCACGCGCAAGAUUAGAUAGUUGGUGAGGUAACGGCUCACCAAGUCAAUGAUCUUUAGGGGGCCUGAGAGGGUGAUCCCCCACACUGGUACUGAGACACGGACCAGACUCCUACGGGAGGCAGCAGUGAGGAAUAUUGGACAAUGGGUGAGAGCCUGAUCCAGCCAUCCCGCGUGAAGGACGACUGCCCUAUGGGUUGUAAACUUCUUUUAUACUGGGAUAAACCUACCCUCGUGAGGGUAGCUGAAGGUACAGUAUGAAUAAGCACCGGCUAACUCCGUGCCAGCAGCCGCGGUAAUACGGAGGGUGCAAGCGUUAUCCGGAUUUAUUGGGUUUAAAGGGUCCGUAGGCGGACUCGUAAGUCAGUGGUGAAAUCUCAUAGCUAAACUAUGAAACUGCCAUUGAUACUGCGGGUCUUGAGUAAAGUAGAAGUGGCUGGAAUAAGUAGUGUAGCGGUGAAAUGCAUAGAUAUUACUUAGAACACCAAUUGCGAAGGCAGGUCACUAUGUUUUAACUGACGCUGAUGGACGAAAGCGUGGGGAGCGAACAGGAUUAGAUACCCUGGUAGUCCACGCCGUAAACGAUGCUAACUCGUUUUUGGGUUUUCGGAUUCAGAGACUAAGCGAAAGUGAUAAGUUAGCCACCUGGGGAGUACGUUCGCAAGAAUGAAACUCAAAGGAAUUGACGGGGGCCCGCACAAGCGGUGGAUUAUGUGGUUUAAUUCGAUGAUACGCGAGGAACCUUACCAAGGCUUAAAUGGGAAUUGACAGGUUUAGAAAUAGAUCCUUCUUCGGACAAUUUUCAAGGUGCUGCAUGGUUGUCGUCAGCUCGUGCCGUGAGGUGUUAGGUUAAGUCCUGCAACGAGCGCAACCCCUGUCACUAGUUGCCAUCAUUCAGUUGGGGACUCUAGUGAGACUGCCUACGCAAGUAGAGAGGAAGGUGGGGAUGACGUCAAAUCAUCACGGCCCUUACGCCUUGGGCCACACACGUAAUACAAUGGCCGGUACAGAGGGCAGCUACUAUGCGAAUAGAUGCGAAUCUCGAAAGCCGGUCUCAGUUCGGAUUGGAGUCUGCAACUCGACUC
Molecule: ribosomal RNA, 1230 nt
Filed under: Chryseobacterium aquaticum
Lineage: Bacteria; Pseudomonadati; Bacteroidota; Flavobacteriia; Flavobacteriales; Weeksellaceae
Description: bacterial SSU rRNA
Rfam family: Bacterial small subunit ribosomal RNA
Source: RNAcentral